CUGACGGUAGUCGUAUGCUCGUCUCCGAGACUAAGCCAUGCAAGUCCAAGUACACGUCCUUGAACGACGGAAACUGCGAACGGCUCAUUAAAUCAGUUGCGAUCUACUCGGCGUUCCGCGCCGCCGGAUAACCGUAGUAAUUCUAGGGCUAAUACGUGCGAAGCGCCCGAAGCCGCGAGGCGACGGGCGUUCUCGCCGGAUGUAGGAACCGACCCGGGGACCGCCGGGGCAACCCCGGCGCCCCCGAGACGGGGCGAACCACGGUGAAAUGACGGAUCGUCGGCCCCGCGCCGGCGACUCGCCGAAUGAGUUUCUGACCUAUCAACUCGAGACGGCGGGGUAGAGGCCCGCCGCGGUAACGACGGGUAACGGGGAAUCAGGGUUCGAUUCCGGAGAGGGAGCCCGAGAAACGGCUACCACUUCCAAGGAAGGCAGCAGGCGCGCAACUUACCCUAAUCUCGAUUCGAGGAGGUAGUG
Molecule: ribosomal RNA, 477 nt
Filed under: uncultured eukaryote
Lineage: Eukaryota
Description: bacterial SSU rRNA
Rfam family: Eukaryotic small subunit ribosomal RNA
Source: RNAcentral